AUAAAGGGGAAUAAUACAAAAUUAGCUUCGCUUGCGAAAGCGUAAUUUUGUAUUCAUGACCCUAACACAGAUGAGCAAGUAGUGAUUUUCGUUAGAAAAUCAACGGAUUGCGAAUCGGUGUAGAAUUGCGGGAGCUGCAGCGCAGCGGAGCAAUUCGUUAUAU
This 163-nucleotide small RNA is filed under the name uncultured Agathobacter sp. Its description in RNAcentral is "Clostridiales-1 RNA". It matches the Rfam family "Clostridiales-1 RNA". Lineage: Bacteria; Bacillati; Bacillota; Clostridia; Lachnospirales; Lachnospiraceae. The record is from RNAcentral.